Non-coding RNA from Coniochaeta sp. 2T2.1, 106 nucleotides. NCBI's taxonomy places the organism in Eukaryota, Fungi, Ascomycota, Sordariomycetes, Coniochaetales, Coniochaetaceae. The record is from the annotation of a GenBank genome assembly.
GGUCCCAUAGCUCAGUUGGUUAGAGCGUCGUACUAAUACUCGCCGUCCUCGGAUAACGAGCAUCAAGUAAAUGCGAAGGUCUUGGGUUCAACCCCCAAUGGGACCA